RNAcentral lists this long non-coding RNA (269 nucleotides) under Elaeis guineensis (African oil palm). Its description in RNAcentral is "long non-coding RNA (EGUI_LNC063603)". The record is from RNAcentral. Lineage: Eukaryota; Viridiplantae; Streptophyta; Magnoliopsida; Arecales; Arecaceae.
GACCUUAUUAGAUCUACUAGCGGAUAUUGUACCUAUUGGGUAUAAAUGGAUCUAUAAGAGAAAGAUUGGUUCGGAUGGAAUGGUCAAUGCGAAGGCAUUAACUACCGGGAGAUCUUUUCCCUAGUUGCCAUGCUUAAAUCCAUUCAGAUACUGCUUGCUAUUGUAGCAUAUCUUGGCUAUGAGAUAUGAAAAUGGAUAUGAAAAUGAUUUUUCUUAAUAGAUAUCUUGAGGAAGAUAUCUAUAUGAAGCAGUCAUUGGGCUUCACUUCC